Long non-coding RNA from Spinacia oleracea (spinach), 715 nucleotides. RefSeq lists it as uncharacterized. The transcript is spliced from 2 exons. The record is from RefSeq and is a predicted model, not a curated record. NCBI's taxonomy places the organism in Eukaryota, Viridiplantae, Streptophyta, Magnoliopsida, Caryophyllales, Amaranthaceae.
ACGCCUGUCAGACGGCCCCUUUGCUCACGCGCAUAAUAAAACCCUUCUAAUUUCUCUCCUGCUCGUUUCUGCGCGCUCUCCCCUCUCGUCGCUCAUCUCCUCCCCUCUCUCCUGCUGAUGCGAUCCUCUCUCUCCUCUCCUCACUCUUCUCUCUCGCCGGAGACGACCAUUACCAUGUCGGAAAUUUCCGAGGAGCUCCUCCUUGCAGUUCCUCGUUGUCCCUCCUAGCUGCCUUGAGAUUUCAGUCGGUGAUAUCGACGGAAGAAUCAACGGCGGUGGCGGCUGAGUGUCGAAGGACGGAGGAGAGACGUGGGGAGCAGAGGCGGCGGUUCGCAUCCUCACAAAGUUGCGCUGGUGGUCGAUGCUGUUGUUAAUGGCCUCCUCGCAAAGAUGCGCGGUUGUGGCUGGUUCACGACAACAGUUAUGGUAGCAGCGCUGCUGCUUCUUCAGUACGGGGUGGUGUUAGCUUGCUGUGGUGGAAUUGUUGAGGCCGCGCCAUGGUGUUAGCUUGCUGUGAUUUUGUUUUUAGCUUUGUAAUUUUUUCUUUUACCUGCUUUUUUUGUUGAUAAAGAGGGCAAAGCCCCAAUUUCUUUUCUCUGGUUGGUGUUUUAAUUUCGAUUUACUUAUCAAUUCGAUUAGUUAUCAAUUAUAUUGUUUUAGUUAUAGUUUUGUUAUAUUUAGUUACGAAAUGAAACGCUUUAUUUAUAUUUUUUUA